RNAcentral lists this transfer RNA (63 nucleotides) under Platynereis sp. 2 PA-2020. Its description in RNAcentral is "tRNA-Phe". It matches the Rfam family "tRNA". Rfam says of the family: Transfer RNA (tRNA) molecules are approximately 80 nucleotides in length. Their secondary structure includes four short double-helical elements and three loops (D, anti-codon, and T loops). Lineage: Eukaryota; Metazoa; Annelida; Polychaeta; Phyllodocida; Nereididae. The record is from RNAcentral.
GCUCUCGUAGCUUAAAAUAAAGCGUUACAUUGAAGCUGUAAAUAUGACGCAAGUCCAAGAGCA